This 496-nucleotide ribosomal RNA is filed under the name uncultured bacterium. RNAcentral's name for it is "partial 16S ribosomal RNA". It matches the Rfam family "Bacterial small subunit ribosomal RNA", at positions 28 to 507 of the family's 1533-position model. The record is from RNAcentral.
GAUGAACGCUGGCGGCGUGCUAAUACAUGCAAGUCGAGCGAACAGACGAGGAGCUUGCUCCUCUGACGUUAGCGGCGGACGGGUGAGUAACACGUGGAUAACCUACCUAUAAGACUGGGAUAACUUCGGGAAACCGGAGCUAAUACCGGAUAAUAUAUUGAACCGCAUGGUUCAAUAGUGAAAGACGGUUUUGCUGUCACUUAUAGAUGGAUCCGCGCCGCAUUAGCUAGUUGGUAAGGUAACGGCUUACCAAGGCGACGAUGCGUAGCCGACCUGAGAGGGUGAUCGGCCACACUGGAACUGAGACACGGUCCAGACUCCUACGGGAGGCAGCAGUAGGGAAUCUUCCGCAAUGGGCGAAAGCCUGACGGAGCAACGCCGCGUGAGUGAUGAAGGUCUUCGGAUCGUAAAACUCUGUUAUUAGGGAAGAACAAAUGUGUAAGUAACUAUGCACGUCUUGACGGUACCUAAUCAGAAAGCCACGGCUAACUACGUG